GACGAACGCUGGCGGCGUGCUUAACACAUGCAAGUCGAACGGAAAGGCCCUGCUUUUGUGGGGUGCUCGAGUGGCGAACGGGUGAGUAACACGUGAGUAACCUGCCCUUGACUUUGGGAUAACUUCAGGAAACUGGGGCUAAUACCGGAUAGGAGCUCCUGCUGCAUGGUGGGGGUUGGAAAGUUUCGGCGGUUGGGGAUGGACUCGCGGCUUAUCAGCUUGUUGGUGGGGUAGUGGCUUACCAAGGCUUUGACGGGUAGCCGGCCUGAGAGGGUGACCGGCCACAUUGGGACUGAGAUACGGACCAGACUCGUACGGGAGGCAGCAGUGGGGAAUAUUGCACAAUGGGAGGAAGCCUGAUGCAGCAACGCCGCGGGCGGGAUGACGGCCUGCGGGUUGUAAACCGCUUUCGCCUGUGACGAAGCGUGAGUGACGGUAAUGGGUAAAGAAGCACCGGCUAACUACGUG
This 468-nucleotide ribosomal RNA is filed under the name uncultured bacterium. RNAcentral describes it as "partial 16S ribosomal RNA". It matches the Rfam family "Bacterial small subunit ribosomal RNA", at positions 28 to 507 of the family's 1533-position model. The record is from RNAcentral.